CAGAACAUUCCUCAUAAUGCGUUGUUUAACACAGAAUUUUAGACUGCGGGCUUUUGAUUAACGUCGCCGACGGGACCUAAGGAUACUCGUGAGCUCUGAAGCGAGAAUUCCUCCAGUUGGCGGUUUUAAAUACUAGUACUAUCCUUGACGCGAAGAGGAAGUAUAGAUGGGCGCCCCCCGUCACGAUAUUUGUAUUUAUUUUAUUUAUCUAUAUUUUUAAUGUAUCGUAGUGGUGCGGGACUUCUGGGGACUGAUCCAGUCGACUUGAGAAUGAAACUGGAGUCUUCUCAAUCGGCAUCCUUCCACCGUUCGUGCGCAAUUGAUGCCCGGCAACAGAUAGCCCCUGAAAACCCAAGAAGCAGGGGCGGAGGACGAUGAUGGUUUCAAUUGGGGCGCGAGAACGAAAUGGUAGUGGACGUUUAGCGGGAU
RNAcentral lists this small RNA (429 nucleotides) under Histoplasma capsulatum var. duboisii H88. RNAcentral describes it as "Histoplasma capsulatum H88 hypothetical RNA". Lineage: Eukaryota; Fungi; Ascomycota; Eurotiomycetes; Onygenales; Ajellomycetaceae. The record is from RNAcentral.